Molecule: ribosomal RNA, 502 nt
Filed under: uncultured bacterium
Lineage: Bacteria
Description: partial 16S ribosomal RNA
Rfam family: Bacterial small subunit ribosomal RNA
Source: RNAcentral
GACGAACGCUGGCGGCGUGCUUAACACAUGCAAGUCGAACGGUGAAGGGGCCUGCUUUUGUGGGCCCUGGAUGAGUGGCGAACGGGUGAGUAACACGUGAGUAACCUGCCCCCUUCUUCUGGAUAACCGCAUGAAAGUGUGGCUAAUACGGGAUAUUCUGGGUCUGUCGCAUGAUGGGUCUGGGAAAGAUUGCGCCUUUGGGUGUUUUUGGUGGGGGAUGGGCUCGCGGCCUAUCAGCUUGUUGGUGGGGUGAUGGCCUACCAAGGCGGUGACGGGUAGCCGGCCUGAGAGGGUGGACGGUCACACUGGGACGGAGACACGGCCCAGACUCCUACGGGAGGCAGCAGUGGGGAAUAUUGCACAAUGGGCGCAAGCCUGAUGCAGCGACGCCGCGUGAGGGAUGGAGGCCUUCGGGUUGUAAACCUCUUUCGCCAGUGAAGCAGGCCUGCUCCUUGUGGGUGGGUUGACGGUAGCUGGAUAAGAAGCGCCGGCUAACUACGUG